This 255-nucleotide ribosomal RNA is filed under the name uncultured bacterium. RNAcentral describes it as "partial 16S ribosomal RNA". It matches the Rfam family "Bacterial small subunit ribosomal RNA", at positions 524 to 776 of the family's 1533-position model. The record is from RNAcentral.
UACGGAGGGAGCUAGCGUUGUUCGGAAUUACUGGGCGUAAAGCGCGUGUAGGCGGCUGCGCAAGUCGGAUGUGAAAUCCCAUGGCUCAACCAUGGAAGUGCACCCGAAACUGCGUAGCUAGAGUCUCGGAGAGGAAGGCGGAAUGCUUGGUGUAGAGGUGAAAUUCGUAGAUAAUCGAAGCGGAACACCGGUGGCGAAGGCGGCCUUCUGGACGAUGACUGACGCUGAGACGCGAAAGCGUGGGGAGCAAACAGG